Salmo salar (Atlantic salmon) is the source of this 1291-nucleotide non-coding RNA. NCBI's taxonomy places the organism in Eukaryota, Metazoa, Chordata, Actinopteri, Salmoniformes, Salmonidae. The record is from RefSeq and is a predicted model, not a curated record.
CUGGCGCUGACACACACAUGGGGGCUUUGAGGUUGGCAGUCCGCUACAAUCAGCAACAAACACAGAGCUGACCUACUCUCCCAAGACUAACGCAGGACUGCAAAGAACAUUUGGCCUACUGAUCUGUGCGGGGAGAGGAUUGAACAUAAAACCAGAGGAGUCUGAAGAGUCAGAAAGAGCAGCAGAGGCCCCAGAGGAGGCUACACAGAAGAGGUACAGUACAGCACAGCAGGCCUCUGGACAUGGCUCGGAUGGAAAAAGCAUGCAGUGAGCAACUAACAGUAGAUAAAGAUUCCUCCUGUUCUGUUGAUGGAGAGGCCAGAGCCAGUCUUCCCCAACUACAGCUCCCACUGGGGGAAGCUCUUGCUAUGGCUGACUGAGAGGUUAUUGGGUGUAACACGAGUUUGCUUGCCUGAGUGUUUUUGAACAGUAACAAUGACACUGAUCGGUUGGUACGAGAGGAACACAGAAAAACAAAAAAAAGUCAACCUGAAGAUAGACUGGUAGAGUUAUUGACCACAUAUGAUAAGAGGAAGAGAGAAUGCUAAAGAAUGAGAAGAGAGAGAGAAUGGCGUUCUUCUGAGAGCAGGAGUGAGGUAGAGAAGGGAGGAAGAAAAAUAAGGAAUGUAGAAUGCUUGAGAGCUUCCCUCAGAAAAAGUUGGACUGACUCAGAACAUGCUUGUAUGAGGGCAUACAUAUAUGCUGGAAGAGCCCGGUGGAUCAGGCCCUGCUCUCUGACGCACUUCUCAGUCUGGCCACUAGGCGGAGGCCUUCACACAGGAAAGAUACCGUCUGCUUGUCCAGUACAUGGGCCUACAUGUCUUGGGAACGCCACAUAUUGUGUAAAGGUUUUACUCGUGAUGUGUUUACUCUGUUCAGUAAUCACAUUUAAUAUUUUAGUGAAAAUAAUGAUUUUGUAAAAUUUGAAUACCACUUGAAUAUAUGGUGCAUUACAGUAUAUACAGUACAUCUUCUGCACUAUUUGGGAAUUGAUCAAAUCUGUUAUUUUUCCACUAUCUGAAGUGGAUGAUUGUUUGACAUUGCUUUAGUUGCAGUAGUGCUCUGCCAAGGCUUGCUGUCUGCCUCUGGCAUGGAGUCAAGGCUUCAGCCUGCUGGCACAUGCAUCCCUCCUAGAGAGGAAACCUGCAGAGGAAAUGUGACAUUACUGAGGAGAAGACAAGCAGAGAGGACUUAGGUUGUAGAAGUCUGUUAGGCCUACAAUAUGUCUCUGCUUUUAUGACCUGACUAUCUCUGUCUGACUCAUGGUGCCAGAGAAUAUAUCUGAAAAAGA